AUCGCCCCUUGAAAUUGCCUGCGCGACGCUCGGCAGUGGCCUUGAUACCUUCCUGGAAGUCUUCGGUUUCGCGCAGCCAGGUCUGUUCGGCGAGUUCGUGGUCGGUUUGUGCCUUGACGCGGUCCGCAAGUCCCGCGCGCANCGUCGACAUCAAUCCUAGCGGGGAGUUCUCGGCGAUCUCAUUUGCCAGCUUGAAUGCUUCG
RNAcentral lists this unclassified non-coding RNA (203 nucleotides) under Hevea brasiliensis (rubber tree). The record is from RNAcentral. Lineage: Eukaryota; Viridiplantae; Streptophyta; Magnoliopsida; Malpighiales; Euphorbiaceae.